AAAAAAAUUCAAUGAAUACAAAUUCAGGACAUCCACCUAUAGUUCUUUCAUUAAAUAGACUUUUCUUGUUGAUACCAUCCAUUCCUACCCACGAUUAAUUGUUAAUAAUUAAAGAAACCCCAUGUAUCUCAAAUUCUCACCCUAAAUUUUCAGUAUAUAAAAGCCAAAGAGCCCAAAAUAAACAAGAACACAAAGCCUACGUCCCUCUUGGUGGGUGGGUAUUGCUGUAGUUGCUAAGUUACAGGUUGAAAUGGGUGGAAGAGGCCAUAUUAAUGGUGCAAAGUUGGAUUUGAAGCUGAAUCUGUCGCCGCCUAGGGAUAAUAAUCAUCAAGCAGCUGAGUCUAGCGCCUCUACAUCGGAAAUAUUGUCACCGAAGAGUUCAUGCGUGUCAUCGGAGAGUGAUUCAGAGAUGAGUAACUACGCCAGCAGCCCAGAAAAUCGUUCCAUGAUGCUGGCGGGUUGUCCUCGAUGCCUCAUGUACGUGAUGUUAUCAGAUGUGAAUCCCAAAUGCCCAAAGUGCAAGAGCACCGUCUUGCUUGAUGUUCUCAGCGACAAAAGCACCAAGAAGACAAUAAACUGAUCAUGCUCUAACUAGCCUUCUUCUUCUUCUUCUUAUUCUUCUUUUUCCUUUUUUUUUUUUUCUUUUUCUUGAUAACUUGCAGUUACUUAGCGUCUUCAUCUUCUUCUUCUUAUAUUUUCUUUUGGUUUUGCUGUGCACAAGACAGAGGAAUGAAAAGGGCCAACCACCCACAUAAAUAUAUUUAGGGUAUAAUCGCCUCUGUGUGUGCAUAUAUUUUUUUUCUUCGGCUGUAUCCUUCGUCUUGUUUGCAACCAAAAAUUAAUCUAGUAUUUUUCUCUGUUAAAAUAAA
Molecule: long non-coding RNA, 869 nt
Organism: Hevea brasiliensis (rubber tree)
Lineage: Eukaryota; Viridiplantae; Streptophyta; Magnoliopsida; Malpighiales; Euphorbiaceae
Exons: 2
Source: RefSeq, a predicted model, not a curated record